This 388-nucleotide ribosomal RNA is filed under the name uncultured archaeon. RNAcentral's name for it is "bacterial SSU rRNA". It matches the Rfam family "Archaeal small subunit ribosomal RNA", at positions 54 to 449 of the family's 1478-position model. The record is from RNAcentral.
CGAGUCGACACAGCAAUGUGUGGCACACGGCUCAGUAACACGUAGUCAACAUGCCCAGGGGACGUGGAUAACCUCGGGAAACUGAGGAUAAACCGCGAUAGGUCACUACUUCUGGAAUGGGUAAUGACCCAAACCUAUAUGGCCCCUGGAUUGGACUGCGGCCGAUCAGGCUGUUGGUGAGGUAAUGGCCCACCNAACCUGUAACCGGUACGGGCUUUGAGAGAAGGAGCCCGGAGAUGGGCACUGAGACAAGGGCCCAGGCCCUAUGGGGCGCAGCAGGCGCGAAACCUCUGCAAUAGGCGAAAGCCUGACAGGGUUACUCUGAGUGAUGCCCGCUAAGGGUAUCUUUUGGCACCUCUAAAAAUGGUGCAGAAUAAGGGGUGGGCAC